Molecule: transfer RNA, 70 nt
Filed under: Ovis aries (sheep)
Lineage: Eukaryota; Metazoa; Chordata; Mammalia; Artiodactyla; Bovidae
Rfam family: tRNA
About the family: Transfer RNA (tRNA) molecules are approximately 80 nucleotides in length.
Source: Rfam by way of RNAcentral
CCUGAUAGCUCAAAUGGUAAAGAUUCUGCCUACAAUGCAGAAGACCUGGGGUUCAAUCCCUAGGUCAGGA